RNAcentral lists this long non-coding RNA (651 nucleotides) under Numida meleagris (helmeted guineafowl). Its description in RNAcentral is "lncRNA (ENSNMEG00000019218.1)". The record is from RNAcentral. Lineage: Eukaryota; Metazoa; Chordata; Aves; Galliformes; Numididae.
GUUUUCCAUGGCAUAAAAGAUCCCACCAAUGGGAGCACAGUAUGCAGGGGCAUCUGAAUGGGAGCUGAUCUUGGAGAAGGAUAAAGAAGUUCUUGUUUCAAGGGGGCCAAAGAAGAUGUGGAGCAUAGACAAUGGAGAAGUUUUUGUUAAGAAACAGACAAAAUGUUUUCUGUCCUGAAGAAGGAAGAGGAGGAUAAAGAAGUAGCAGAGGACAACAUGGAAGGAAAACAGAACAAAAGCAAGUUUCACAGUACUCUGCAGUGUUCUACUCCUGUAAGCUUACAGCAGUCACUGCUGGAAUCAGGAACAGAAGAAUGUGCUUCUACCUGUCCAGUGUCAGUCUAUGUCAUGAGGAUGUGCUUGGACAUGAGGACCUGGGAAGAUGAGAGAGCUGCAGGCACUGAUGGCUUUGAAGUCAACUCCAACAGGACUCCUGCAUCUUCAUUUAGGUACCAAAAUCAAAGGCUUCCUCACCAGCAGUGCUAUAAGGGCUCAAGGCCUGUUUAGAAAAAAAAUCAACGUGCAAUGUACUGACCUAAAUGGGAAGAGACACCAUGAAACAUGUUUAAGAAAGGUUCAAAAUAAUGUGCAGCCUGGACUACCAGAGGCUGUAUGUAGUUGAUUACAAUAAAGAUGGAAAUAAACCUUAAG